Molecule: ribosomal RNA, 1504 nt
Filed under: Sceloporus megalepidurus (largescale spiny lizard)
Lineage: Eukaryota; Metazoa; Chordata; Lepidosauria; Squamata; Phrynosomatidae
Description: 16S ribosomal RNA
Rfam family: Bacterial large subunit ribosomal RNA
Source: RNAcentral
AAAAAUGUUAGAAACACCCUAACCUAUUUGAGCUAAACCUCUAGCCCACCCUCCCCAUCAAACCUUAAACCACAAUAAACAAACCAUUUGACACGACUAGUAAAGGAGAUUAAACAUCACACAAGGAGCAAAAGACAUAGUACCGUAAGGGAAACGUGAAAAACAAUGAAACACUCAAGCCGAACAAAGCAGGGAUUAAACCUCGUACCUAUUGCAUCAUGGUCUAGCAAGAACAACACAGACACAGCGUCCCAGCCUGUGACCCCGAAAUCAAGUGAGCUACCCUGGAGCAACCUUUUUAGGGUUAACCCUUCCCUGUAGCAAAAGGGUGGGAAGACUUCAAGGUAGUGGUGAAAAGCCUAUCGAACUUGUUGAUAGCUGGUUGCCUGAUAAAUGAACCUAAGUUCAGCCUUAAAUUUCUUUUAUCAUACCCAUAGUAGAACCUUAAUUUAAGACAUACUCAAUGGAGGUACAGCCCCAUUGAGCCGGGAUACAGCCCGAAGUAAAGAGCUAAUAUCACACCACAUACCAGUAGGCCUUAAAGCAGCCAUCAAAAAUUUGCGUCACAGCACACACCAAAAAAUUCCAUACAUUUUAAUAACCUCUUACAACCGUAUCAGCGCUAAUCUAUAAAAAUAUAGAAGAACUAAUGCUAGAACUAGUAACAAGAACCCAUCUCUACGCACAACUGUAAAUCAGCCACAGAAGACCUACUUGAAAAUUAACAGUCUAAUACUUAUUUAACAAACAUUAAAUGCUACUGUUAACCCGACUCAGGGGUGCUAAAAAGAAAGAUCAAUAGUUAAAGAAGGAACUCGGCAAAUCGAUAUCCCAACUGUUUACCAAAAACAUAGCCUUUAGCUUUACAAGUAUUAAAGGUGACGCCUGCCCAGUGAACCAGUUUUAACGGCCGCGGUAUCCUAACCGUGCAAAGGUAGCGUAAUCACUUGUCCUUUAAAUAAGGACCAGUAUGAACGGCUAAAUGAGGAUAAAACUGUCUCCUUUGACUAAUNCAGUGAAACUGAUCAACCAGUACAAAAGCUGGAAUACCCACAUAAGACGAGAAGACCCUGUGGAGCUUUAAAUUUAUACCAAGCAACUAAGACACAAACUAGCCAAUGGUCAAAAAUUUUAAGUUGGGGCAACUUCGGAACAAAACCAAACUUCCGAGCAUAAGACCAUGUCUUACCAAGACCUACAAGUCAAAGCUAAAAUUGACCCAGUACUACUGACACUCGAACCAAGUUACCCCAGGGAUAACAGCGCAAUCUUCUUCAAGAGUCCCUAUCGACAAGAAGGUUUACGACCUCGAUGUUGGAUCAGGACACCCAAAUGGUGCAGCCGCUAUUAAACAAUCCAGGUCGGUUUCUAUCUAUGCAGUUGUUUUCUUUAGUACGAAAGGACCAAGAAGACAGGACCAAUGUUAAUAACACGUCCUAAACAUAAUGGCUGAACACAAAUUAAGCCAUACAACACAACCAACCGCCCGGAGAUAACGGGCUUA